This is a long non-coding RNA of Larimichthys crocea (large yellow croaker), 587 nucleotides long. RefSeq lists it as uncharacterized. NCBI's taxonomy places the organism in Eukaryota, Metazoa, Chordata, Actinopteri, Sciaenidae. The record is from RefSeq and is a predicted model, not a curated record. The transcript has 7 exons.
CUUCUCUCUCUGCGGGUGGCUGACUAAAACAACUUCUCUGUCCUCUUUCCGGUUUCUAACCUCAAACAUAAAACGAAAAAAGACGAUAAAAUGAGCUGCUCUGAGUGUCCACGGAGCUCCAGGAGAAGGUCUGCAAAUGGAUGAUGAAGAUGCAACAACCUGACCAUGUCUCAGGACCGCACUACAUCUGGCUGCAGCAGCUACCACUGAAGCCCUGAGCUGAUGGUGAACUUGGACGCACUAAUCUGUCUCAGGGCACUGAAGGAACGCUUCAAUUCAGUACUUUGGACUACUUUAUGGUGAAGUUUAAACUCAGGCCUCUAGAUGGAGACUUCAGACAUGAGGUCUUCCCCACUGAAAGGAGAUGGCAGUGACGUCCUCUCAGCUGGAAAGGAUGUGGUGGCCCAAGAUGGAUGAUAUCUGGACACGAUGUGUGGAUCGGCUUCACAGGCACUGCGACUCGAGUUUGGACACGCUUCAAAGAUCAGCGCAUCGAAGCAGUGACUGUCAAGAUGCAUUCAGUCAUCUUUAAUGAGCAGUUCAAGAGCUGCUUGUCUUUACACAUCAAAUAAAAGCAUCAACACAGA